UACGUAGGGACCAAGCGUUGUUCGGAUUUACUGGGCGUAAAGGGCGCGUAGGCGGCAAUUCAAGUCAUCUGUGAAAUCUCCGGGCUUAACUCGGAACGGUCAGGUGAAACUGCUUUGCUAGAGUGCGGAAGGGGCAAUCGGAAUUCUCGGUGUAGCGGUGAAAUGCGUAGAUAUCGAGAGGAACACCUGAGGUGAAGACGGGUUGCUGGGCCGACACUGACGCUGAAGCGCGAAAGCCAGGGGAGCGAACGGG
Molecule: ribosomal RNA, 253 nt
Filed under: uncultured bacterium
Lineage: Bacteria
Description: partial 16S ribosomal RNA
Rfam family: Bacterial small subunit ribosomal RNA
Source: RNAcentral